This 496-nucleotide ribosomal RNA is filed under the name uncultured bacterium. RNAcentral's name for it is "partial 16S ribosomal RNA". It matches the Rfam family "Bacterial small subunit ribosomal RNA", at positions 28 to 507 of the family's 1533-position model. The record is from RNAcentral.
GAUGAACGCUGGCGGCGUGCCUAAUACAUGCAGGUCGAGCGAACGGACGAGAAGCUUGCUUCUCUGAUGUUAGCGGCGGACGGGUGAGUAACACGUGGAUAACCUACCUAUAAGACUGGGAUAACUUCGGGAAACCGGAGCUAAUACCGGAUAAUAUUUUGAACCGCAUGGUUCAAAAGUGAAAGACGGUCUUGCUGUCACUUAUAGAUGGAUCCGCGCUGCAUUAGCUAGUUGGUAGGUAACGGCUUACCAAGGCAACGAUGCAUAGCCGACCUGAGAGGGUGAUCGGCCACACUGGAACUGAGACACGGUCCAGACUCCUACGGGAGGCAGCAGUAGGGAAUCUUCCGCAAUGGGCGAAAGCCUGACGGAGCAACGCCGCGUGAGUGAUGAAGGUCUUCGGAUCGUAAAACUCUGUUAUUAGGGAAGAACAUAUGUGUAAGUAACUGUGCACAUCUUGACGGUACCUAAUCAGAAAGCCACGGCUAACUACGUG